RNAcentral lists this ribosomal RNA (814 nucleotides) under uncultured bacterium. Its description in RNAcentral is "bacterial SSU rRNA". It matches the Rfam family "Bacterial small subunit ribosomal RNA", at positions 543 to 1352 of the family's 1533-position model. The record is from RNAcentral.
AUAAAAAAUGAUUGGGCGUAAAGGGCGCGUAGGCGGCGCGGCAAGUCCGGAGUGAAAGUCCUGCUUUUAAGGUAGGAAUUGCUUUGGAAACUGUCGAGCUUGAGUGCAGGAGAGGUAAGCGGAAUUCCCGGUGUAGCGGUGAAAUGCGUAGAGAUCGGGAGGAACACCAGUGGCGAAGGCGGCUUACUGGACUGUAACUGACGCUGAGGCGCGAAAGUGUGGGGAGCAAACAGGAUUAGAUACCCUGGUAGUCCACACUGUAAACGAUGAAUGCUAGGUGUAGGGGGUAUCGACCCCUUCUGUGCCGGAGUCAACACAAUAAGCAUUCCGCCUGGGGAGUACGGCCGCAAGGUUGAAACUCAAAGGAAUUGACGGGGGCCCGCACAAGCGGAGGAACAUGUGGUUUAAUUCGAUGAUACGCGAGGAACCUUACCCGGGCUCGAACGGUGCAUGAAUGUCAGAGAGAUUUGACAGUCCUUCGGGACAUGUAUCGAGGUGCUGCAUGGUUGUCGUCAGCUCGUGCCGUGAGGUGUCGGCUUAAGUGCCAUAACGAGCGCAACCCUUGUUGACAGUUACCAUCAGGGUAAAGCUGGGGACUCCGUCGAGACUGCCACCGUAAGGUGUGAGGAAGGGGGGGAUGACGUCAAAUCAGCACGGCCCUUAUGUCCGGGGCGACACACGUGUUACAAUGGGAGGUACAGAGGGCAGCUAUCCAGUGAUGGGAGUGCAAAUCUCAAAAACCUUUCUCAGUUCAGGAUUGGAGUCUGCAACUCGACUCCAUGAAGUUGGGAUUCCGCUAGUAAUCGCGCAUCAG